GGAGAAAUACUCAAGUGGCCGAAGAGGCGCCCCUGCUAAGGGUGUAGGUCGGGAAACCGGCGCGAGGGUUCAAAUCCCUCUUUCUCCG
This 88-nucleotide transfer RNA is filed under the name Clostridium kluyveri DSM 555. It matches the Rfam family "tRNA". From Rfam's summary of the family: Transfer RNA (tRNA) molecules are approximately 80 nucleotides in length. Their secondary structure includes four short double-helical elements and three loops (D, anti-codon, and T loops). The record is from Rfam by way of RNAcentral. RNAcentral also lists the same sequence under 1 other name. Lineage: Bacteria; Bacillati; Bacillota; Clostridia; Eubacteriales; Clostridiaceae.